RNAcentral lists this ribosomal RNA (113 nucleotides) under Sphingobacteriales bacterium TSM_CSM. RNAcentral also lists the same sequence under 1 other name. Lineage: Bacteria; Pseudomonadati; Bacteroidota; Sphingobacteriia; Sphingobacteriales. The record is from RNAcentral.
UAAGGUGGCUAUAGCGGGGAGGUUCCACCUCUUCCCAUUCCGAACAGAGAAGUUAAGCUCCCCAGCGCCGAUGGUACUGUCUGAAAAGAUGGGAGAGUAGGUCGCCGCCAACC